UUGGUUUAGCUGCUACUUCAUUGGUCGGUAUUUCUGGUUCAUGUUCAUAUAAAUUGUGAUCUUCUGAAGUUUCGUCGUAUUCUGGUGUAUCGAUUUUGUUAUCUUCUAAUGGUGUUUCCUCAUCCUGUUCUUCAUGGGUAUCAUAUUCUUCAGACACUUCUAGACCGGUGUUCGGAUUUCUUCGUCGCCUGUGGCGUCUUUUAGGUUGAUUAUUUCUUUCAUCUUGUUCACCAAUAUCACUUGGUUUAGCUGCUACUCCAUUGGUCGGUAUUUCUGGUUCAUGUUCAUAUAAAUUGUGAUCUUCUGAAGUUUCGUCGUAUUCUGGUGUAUCGAUUUUGUUAUCUUCUAAUGGUGUUUCCUCAUCCUGUUCUUCAUGGGUAUCAUAUUCUUCAGACACUUCUAGACCGGUGUUCGGAUCUCUUCGUCGCCUGUGGCGUCUUUUAGGUUGACUAUUUCUUUCAUCUUGUUCAUCAAUAUCACUUGGUUUAGCUGCUACUCCAUUGGUCGGUAUUUCUGGUUCAUGUUCAUAUAAAUUGUGAUCUUCUGAAGUUUCGUCGUAUUCUGGUGUAUCGUUUUUGUUAUCUUCUAAUGGUGUUUCCUCAUCCUGUUCUUCAUGGGUAUCAUAUUCUUCAGACACUUCUAGACCGGUGUUCGGAUUUCUUCGUCGCCUGUGGCGUCUUUUAGGUUGAUUAUUUCUUUCAUCUUGUUCACCAAUAUCACUUGGUUUAGCUGCUACUUCAUUGGUCGGUAUUUCUGGUUCAUGUUCAUAUAAAUGGUGAUCUUCUGAAGUUUCGUCGUAUUCUGGUGUAUCGAUUUUGUUAUCUUCUAAUGGUGUUUCCUCAUCCUGUUCUUCAUCUGUAUCAUAUUCUUCAGACACUUCUAGACCGGUGUUCGGAUUUCUUCGUCGCCUGUGGCGUCUUUUAGGUUGAUUAUUUCUUUCAUCUUGUUCACCAAUAUCACUUGGUUUAGCUGCUACUUCAUUGGUCGGUAUUUCUGGUUCAUGUUCAUAUAAAUUGUGAUCUUCUGAAGUUUCGUCGUAUUCUGGUGUAUCGAUUUUGUUAUCUUCUAAUGGUGUUUCCUCAUCCUGUUCUUCAUGGGUAUCAUAUUCUUCAGACACUUCUAGACCGGUGUUCGGAUCUCUUCGUCGCCUGUGGCGUCUUUUAGGUUGACUAUUUAUUUCAUGUUGUUCAUCAAUAUCACUUGGUUUAGCUGCUACUCCAUUGGUCGGUGUUUCUGGUUCAUGUUCAUAUAAAUGGUGAUCUUCUGAAGUUUCGUCGUAUUCUGGUGUAUCGAUUUUGUUGUCUUCUAAUGGUGUUUCCUCAUCCUGUUCUUCAUGGGUAUCAUAUUCUUCAGACACUUCUAGACCUGUGUUCGGAUUUCUUCGUCGCCUGUGGCGUCUUUUAGGUUGAUUAUUUCUUUCAUCUUGUUCACCAAUAUCACUUGGUUUAGCUGCUACUUCAUUGGUCGGUAUUUCUGGUUCAUGUUCAUAUAAAUGGUGAUCUUCUGAAGUUUCGUCGUAUUCUGGUGUAUCGAUUUUGUUAUCUUCUAAUGGUGUUUCCUCAUCCUGUUCUUCAUGGGUAUCAUAUUCUUCAGACACUUCUAGACCGGUGUUCGGAUCUCUUCGUCGCCUGUGGCGUCUUUUAGGUUGAUUAUUUCUUUCAUCUUGUUCACCAAUAUCACUUGGUUUAGCUGCUACUUCAUUGGUCGGUAUUUCUGGUUCAUGUUCAUAUAAAUGGUGAUCUUCU
Molecule: long non-coding RNA, 1745 nt
Organism: Aphis gossypii (cotton aphid)
Lineage: Eukaryota; Metazoa; Arthropoda; Insecta; Hemiptera; Aphididae
Exons: 8
Source: RefSeq, a predicted model, not a curated record